GUGAAGGCUGUGUGGCCCGUGCCUCUCUCCAGGGUCAGCUCCUCUUUUAGUGUCCUUAGCAGUCUCCCCUGGAGAACACUGUGAUGUCCUGUGUGCUAAAAAGAAGGCUGCCCUUUUUGCUGAGAUCUGCCUGGACCCCCAAGAUGAAUCUGCCACUUUUUGUCUGUAAUUCUCUAGAAUUUUUAAUAAGUUGGGCUCUCACAGGCCACGUUUACUUCCACAAAGCUUAAGUCAAGAAAUGACGUUCCUCCAUCAACCUGCACAGGUUUCAAGCCAGAAGCGGGCUGAGGUCGCCUCUUCUCUGCUCAGUGUCCUGAUCAGAAUAAUAAUGCUGUCGUCCCUCUACUCACAGAUCAUCUCAGAAGAGCUGUGGAAGCUGUAGGUGGAAGAAAGUGUCCCGUGGCUCGCCGGUUGUGAGCACUCAGGAGCUGCCGCGCAUCAGCAGCCGUGUUUCAUAGCCGCGUCGCCUCUGCGUUCACAGGCAGUGAACUAGAGAGCUCAGGGGAAACAGCACAGGUCCC
RNAcentral lists this long non-coding RNA (521 nucleotides) under Equus caballus (horse). Its description in RNAcentral is "lncRNA (ENSECAG00000051184.1)". The record is from RNAcentral. Lineage: Eukaryota; Metazoa; Chordata; Mammalia; Perissodactyla; Equidae.